ACUCUUCUAGUAUAAAGAAUACAAUCGACUUCCAAUCCUUAGAAUCUGGUCAAAACCCAGAGAAGAGUA
Molecule: transfer RNA, 69 nt
Filed under: Heteralocha acutirostris (huia)
Lineage: Eukaryota; Metazoa; Chordata; Aves; Passeriformes; Callaeidae
Description: tRNA-Gly
Rfam family: tRNA
About the family: Transfer RNA (tRNA) molecules are approximately 80 nucleotides in length. Their secondary structure includes four short double-helical elements and three loops (D, anti-codon, and T loops).
Source: RNAcentral